CGAGGCCAUGCAAGGACAUUCACCUUUUUCUCCUUCAACCACUGUGUGGUCGGUUUUGCUGUGAGCUUUGAGUCAUUGUCAUGUUAGGAGGUAAACUUCCCACUGACAACUUUCUGGCAGAGGGCAGCACACACAAUGAGCACUUUUUGUCAUAGGCCUCUUGGUCACCUCUCUGAGCAGUUUUCUCCUGGCUCUUUCAUCCAGUUUGGAGCGAUGUCCUAAUCCAGGCGUUCAAGGCGUCGAUUUGCAGCUUUCAUGAUGCGAAGUGCAGAAGUAAACCAGGGUGAUAUGUGCAUAGAAGAGAACUUGGAAACCCAGACCUGUUUCAGAGAGGUCAACAGGCCACACGAAGACAACGGUUUAAAUGUCUUAAAGGAGCCAUCAUUGAAAAGAAGUAUUAGCAGAGUAGGAGUAAGUUUGAAUGUCUCUAGUCAUUUUGAUAGUUAUGAAGAAAUAACUCAUAUAUAGAUCUGAGGACUACGUUAAGUUACAGUCUGCCCAAGAUGUAUUAAAAGGUGCAUCAAAUACGUUCUUUCUUUCUUUCUUUCUUUCUUUCUUUCUUUCUUUCUUUCUUUUUAAUUAAUUGGGUACUAGUUUCACAGGCAAUUGUUAUAUUUUCUAAACAUUCAUUAGGUUUGUGUCUUUGAAAUCUUAUUUUUAUGCCAAACAAGGAAAAAGACAGACAAUAUCAUCUGUGCUUGGAUGUGGCAAAAAAGGGUAGAACGCAUGUGGUUUACAUUAUAAUACAAUUUUGAUAAAAUGCAUAUCUGUGUCUGCAUUUGUAAACAACUGUUUUUGAGAUUAAACCUGCAGAGAAAAUGUCUCCCGCCCUCAUGUGGCUGUGAGAUGAAUUUGCGAUGAAUUUGAGAUGAGAUCAUUUUCCAACACGCGCGAGGUAAGAUCACGUAUAUUAAACUGACAGUGAACAAAAUCUCUAGGAGCAAAUAAAUACAAAAGAGAACUCAAACCUGUAAUAUGAACACAUUCUUUUGCACAUUGCCAGCAUUUGAAGUCUUCUAAGAAAUCCAAAAAGAUCUGGCAUGGUUAAUUCUGUGGGUUUCUAUUUGUAUACAUAUUUAAUUUUACACACCCUGAAGUCGCUUCAAACACACAUCUUUCUCUCUGUGUGCAAAGCAGAAUUAAAUCAUGUGAUCUGUUAGGUUAAUUAUUUUACAGCUAUAGAACCAACCUGCCAUAUUUUACUGAGGGUUUUUUGAUGCAUUUUUUCUUCCAUUCUCUGCAUUGUAUCACCCAGCACUUUUUCUUCAGUGAUAAACUCCUUUAUCUUUGUCUCCUGACGUGCGUUUGUUUUUCUGUCUGUGCGUGUGAGAUGGAGAGAGUUUAGCAAGGCCCAAGGGACUGAAACUCUGCCAGAAAUGUAAGGAGAGUGAAGGAAUCGGACCAUUCACGGAGUGAGAAAGUAAAAAUGAGUUGUGUGAGUGCCAGACUUCUUCCCUGAUGGAUUCAUUUGGGAGAGCUCCAUCCUCAUCUGGAAGGCUGUCAGGUCCCAGCAGAGGUUUUAUUGGGUGACAAGCAUUGUGUUGGCUGUCUCCUUACAGCCCUGGAUGCAGCCCAAAACUGUUGCUCAACGCAGAAGAAGACAAAGUUUGCUUCUUAGUCCUGUGAAAUAUGUUGAACUCUGGAACUCAGUCUUUUAUGUAGUGUAUGUGUGCGCAUUUUAUCUUAAAAGUUGUUUUCUAUCAACUUUUAAGAAUGGAAUGAAGGACCUUCCCUUUUCAUGCUUUAAACAUUACAAAUAAAUAGAAUUAC
Cyprinus carpio carpio is the source of this 1770-nucleotide long non-coding RNA. The record is from Ensembl. Lineage: Eukaryota; Metazoa; Chordata; Actinopteri; Cypriniformes; Cyprinidae.